UUCCCUCAGGAUAGCUGGAACUUAUGAGAAAGUAGUUUUAUCAGGUAAAGCGAAUGAUUAGAGGCUUUGGGGAAGAAACUUCCUCGACCUAUUCUCAAACUUUAAAUAGGUAAGAUUUGAAGGAUACUUAGGUGAUCUUUCAAUCUCUUGAAUAUAAAGUUCUUAGUGGGCCAUUUUUGGUAAGCAGAACUGGCGAUGUGGGAUGAACCGAACGUUAAGUUAAAGUGCCAAAUAGUACGCUCAUGAGAUACCAUAAAAGGUGUUGGUUCAUUUUGACAGCAGGACGGUGGCCAUGGAAGUCGGAACCCGCUAAGGAGUGUGUAACAACUCACCUGCCGAAUGAACUAGCCCUGAAAAUGGAUGGCGCUUAAGCGUAUAACUUAUACUUAACCCUUACUUGAAUUAUUAUAGCGAGUAAGGAGUAGGAGGG
Molecule: ribosomal RNA, 430 nt
Filed under: uncultured eukaryote
Lineage: Eukaryota
Description: eukaryotic LSU rRNA
Rfam family: Eukaryotic large subunit ribosomal RNA
Source: RNAcentral